Molecule: long non-coding RNA, 1860 nt
Organism: Oxyura jamaicensis (ruddy duck)
Lineage: Eukaryota; Metazoa; Chordata; Aves; Anseriformes; Anatidae
Exons: 5
Source: RefSeq, a predicted model, not a curated record
CUCCUCGUCCUUCUCCUUCUCCUCCUCCUCCUCCUCCAACGCCCAGGGCCGCGGGCAGCGCAUGGCAAGUGACGCCGGGCUGUGUUUUGUCCCCGUGUCACCCACGCGGCUGUGUCUGGCCAUGCCCCCGCACCGUGUUUACUACGGGGUUAUUAAGGGUGUGGAAGAAACCCCCUCCUCCCCCCCGACCCGCCACCGGUCGGGCCUUUGUAGAGUUUGGCGCAGCAGGCGCUGCUGGGGAGAAAAAGGAUUGUUUCAGAGGUGGCUGGAGGGUUCCCCAGUUCUCUCAGGUUGACAGGAAAAUGAGGCUUACCAACCCCAAAAGAGGCAGGAGACGACUGUCUUGAGUCCAGAAAUGCUCUUCAAAGAAAGGGGCAAAAGCCCCUUUUUGCUCCUUUGUGAAAAUCUCAGGGCCUGGCAGUGCCUUAAAUCGUGCUGUGAGGUCAGCUGCCUUUUUUUUUUUUCUUUCCAAUUUUUGUGUCCAAAUUACAGUUCGACUACUUGAGGUUUUUUUUGAAGCGAGCAGCAGCUGAGCUUGCUUGCCCUGCAUUGAGCCUCCUGUAAGUGCACAUGUGGUCAAGAGUGUGGGAUUCCCUCUCCACAUACCAGCCAGCCAGCCCUCUCACAGCUAGCAAUUGACUGAAAACCACUGCUGCAGUGUUGUCCACGUAACACCCUGUCCCUUGGGCUGCUGUUGUUGUGUGCCUGGUCUCAAUUUUCUCUCUCUCCUCUGGCCUUAUGUGAGAAGUCUUUGCCUCCACAUCAAGAAAAAACAUAAACACCCACAAAGACAAACAAAGUGCUGAGUUUUACAGCCGAAGCAGGUUCCCUGUCUGUUUUAUCCUACAGCUCGCCCUCUUGGACUUUAUUGUUGGUAAACUGCCAAGUUUGGCCACCUGGGGCUUCCAGCCUGGCUACCCCAAAGUUCCAGCAGCACCAGGAGCUGGUGACAGCACUCAGGAGUAAGGAAGGGCAGCCAGCCAUGGCUGUAGAAAUUACCUGGGAUAAACUGAGGAAGCAGUGGAGAAAAAGAUGAACCAAGCGGAGCAAAAUCAACAUAAUUUUCUUGACUGUCAUAAGGGUGUGGAAUUGCCAUGAAGUACCCCCCAGCCUGGUAACAUAGUGCCCAGAGCUUCCACGGGCAAAUGACAACGUUUAUAUUAUGCUGUACCAUAAACUAUGAAAAUCUAGCUUGGAACAAGAGCCCUGUUGGCGCUAGGUGCUAUACCAGGAUGUGAUAAAAAUUAUUCUGCCUCUAAGAGCUGACACGGUGCUCCUGGAGCUGCCAUGGAGAAGUGAAGAGGUGAUGGGAACAACAGCAAUGACGACAUGUGAUUUCAGGGACUGCCUGUCAGCACAGCAGGCCUUCCAACUGAGGGGUUUCUGUAAUUGAGGUUACAGCAUGAGUUUUGACUACCAGAUGAAAGCACAACUCUUGCAGGGAUAAUUCACUACUACAAAAGACGCUACAAGAGUCACUUUAUGGAAGUGCAUUUGUGGACAAGAGCAAGAGGGGACCCUACAUUUGCAGUAAAUAAAAGCAUCAUUCGCAGAUCAUCUCUUAAGUCCUACCAGUGACCUUUUGGAAAUACAGCUUGGACAGCCAAAAAAGAAAAGAACUCCAGUGAUUAAUGCAAAGGAAGGACAGCAACAUAUAUAACCUGAAGAACAGCUGAUUAAGAAGAUUCUGCCACAGGAUCAUUUACAAGUGCAAGAGCAGGUGAAACUGUGGGGUGGAUUCUUUCCCCCCUGAUUGGAGCUCCCUGUGUUCCUAGUGCUGAUCCACGCUGUUUCCCAGUGUCAUGCACAGAUAGGACACACUGAAUGCUAAUUCCAGCAUGCACAGCUUCCCUAGUACCA